UUUGCUCCAGCUGAUGAUGCUACACCUGUAGCGGUAUUUUCCACAGUUGUAGCGGAGGACCCCUCCUAUCCACCAGAGGAGCCUACUACUUGAUCAUACGAUCACUCCUCUCCCUUUUUGUAUCUAUAUUCUACGUUUUUGGAUGUCUUAUAUAUUUUGGACCACUUUUAUACUGGGAUUGGAUGUAUUCCAUGUUUAUCUUGUAUAUUGUACUCUCU
RNAcentral lists this long non-coding RNA (218 nucleotides) under Vitis vinifera (wine grape). RNAcentral's name for it is "long non-coding RNA (VVIN_LNC004612)". Lineage: Eukaryota; Viridiplantae; Streptophyta; Magnoliopsida; Vitales; Vitaceae. The record is from RNAcentral.